RNAcentral lists this ribosomal RNA (771 nucleotides) under uncultured bacterium. RNAcentral's name for it is "bacterial SSU rRNA". It matches the Rfam family "Bacterial small subunit ribosomal RNA", at positions 8 to 796 of the family's 1533-position model. The record is from RNAcentral.
AGAGUUUGAUCCUGGCUCAGGACGAACGCUGGCGGCGUGCUUAACACAUGCAAGUCGAGCGGAAAGGCCCUUCGGGGUACUCGAGCGGCGAACGGGUGAGUAACACGUGAGUAACCUGCCCUGGACUUUGGGAUAACCCUCGGAAACGGGGGCUAAUACCGAAUAUGACAUUCCACCGCAUGGUGUGUUUGUGGAAAGUUUUUCGGUCUGGGAUGGGCUCGCGGCCUAUCAGCUUGUUGGUGGGGUGAUGGCCUACCAAGGCGACGACGGGUAGCCGGCCUGAGAGGGCGACCGGCCACACUGGGACUGAGACACGGCCCAGACUCCUACGGGAGGCAGCAGUGGGGAAUAUUGCACAAUGGGCGGAAGCCUGAUGCAGCGACGCCGCGUGAGGGAUGACGGCCUUCGGGUUGUAAACCUCUUUCAGCAGGGACGAAGCGCAAGUGACGGUACCUGCAGAAGAAGCGCCGGCCAACUACGUGCCAGCAGCCGCGGUAAGACGUAGGGCGCGAGCGUUGUCCGGAUUUAUUGGGCGUAAAGAGCUCGUAGGCGGCUUGUCGCGUCGACUGUGAAAACCCGCGGCUCAACCGCGGGCCUGCAGCCGAUACGGGCAGGCUAGAGUUCGGUAGGGGAGACUGGAAUUCCUGGUGUAGCGGUGAAAUGCGCAGAUAUCAGGAGGAACACCGAUGGCGAAGGCAGGUCUCUGGGCCGAUACUGACGCUGAGGAGCGAAAGCGUGGGGAGCGAACAGGAUUAGAUACCCUAGUAGUCC